Molecule: long non-coding RNA, 41830 nt
Filed under: Manihot esculenta (cassava)
Lineage: Eukaryota; Viridiplantae; Streptophyta; Magnoliopsida; Malpighiales; Euphorbiaceae
Description: long non-coding RNA (MESC_LNC005436)
Source: RNAcentral
AAAAAAAAACCAUUGCAGUUCAUCUAUGAAAAUUGAGAAUUGGGCUAUUUCGGCUGCCACAACAACGGUGUCUUGGAUACAAUAGUUGCUCCAUGAAAUAUUUGUGCAAUCAAAUGAAACUUCAAUAUGUGAUAAUGUAGGUUCAACUUAAGAUAACAUAAAGGAAGCUACAAUUUCAAUACAUCUCCUUGCAAGGCUAGUUGGCCAAUAUUCUCAUAAAGUUAUUAUCUAAGGUUGUAAUUGAAUAAAACUACUUGUGAGCUAUUUAAGGCUUGACUCAAUAAAGAUUUGGCUUAACUUGAUUCUUUUUCUAAGUAAGCCAAGUUGAAGACUUAAGUUUUAGACUCGUUUAAUAAACUAGGUAAAAUCGAGCUUUUAAAUAUUCAGCUCAUUAAGACUCGAAAGCUCAUUUGUUUAUAGAUUUACGAGUCAACUCAUAAAUAUACAUAUUUAACUGAAAUUAUUUAGCUUUAAACUAAUUAUUUUUAAAUUAAAACUUGUUAAGGUUGUAAAUGAAUCGAUCUUCUUGUAAGGUAUGCGAGACUUGGCUUAUCUGAACUCAUUUGCUAAAUGAAUCAAGUUUGAGCUUAUUAAUACUCAAUUCGAGUUGUAAAGGAGCAUAGCUCUGUUAAAUAAUAAAAACUUUGUAAUUCUUAGAUGCAUGAAUAUAGACUAGUCUGUGGUUAAGUUCUUUGUGUCUAGCUAUUAAUGUGGUUUCAUAGAUACGAUUAAUGUUCUAAAAUAUCAAGAGUCACCUAGAAUAUCAAGAGUAAGAAGUGCUCAAGAGUCACUAUUAUGAACCUAUAAAUACCUCCAUAACUUAGUAAAAAAUGAGGUUAAAAAGAGAACCUCCAAAGUAUUUGCAGUACCAAUGGAGAAUGAAGAGCCCCUUGUUAUGAUUGUUUAAUUUAAGGCAAUAGUUAAAGAAAUUCUAGAAAAGUUAAGAUUAACUCUAGCAAAGUAUGUGUGUGAAAAAUUUGAACAAAAUCAUCAACUAAGUUUUCUGGCAAAGGUAAUAUUUGAAUACAAAUUUGGAUGGCAUGAACAACAUGGUUUCAAGGCACACACCAAGAAAGAAGUUGAAAAUGAAGUAGUUUUGCAUGUGGUAAGAUAUUUAAAAUGUUUCUAUAAAGUGGUCAUUAAUAAUGUAAAUGAAAUGCAAUUAUACGAAGCAAAAAAUAACUUGAAAUAUUUGAAAGAUGCAAAUAAGGCUUUAAUGAAAAUUUUGGAUGAAGUUAUGACUGAGCUACAUAAAUUGAAGGCAAAAACAGAAGAAAGAGAAUCAGAGGAAUCUGAAAAGUAAUAAAGAGGUGUUGCCAAUUUAAGCCGAAAGAAGAGUAGCAUUUCCAAUCUAAGUUUUUCUUCCAUGUUGCGGAGGUUAUGACGAAGCCUCUCAUAUUUGAAGAUUUUCAAAGGUUGAAAUCAUGUCUUGAGAUGGAGAAAUUCCAAACUAAGGAGGAGUAUUAAAUAAUAAAUAAUUUGUAAUUUCUAGAUAUAUGAAUGUAGCGUAUUGUGUGGUUAAGUUAUUUGUGUCGUAAAUAUAGUUAACGUCCUAUAAUAUCAAGAGUCACCUAGAAUAUCAAACAUUAGGAGCAUUCAAGAGCCACUAUUGUAUGCCUAUAAAUACCCCAUCAUAUUUGUGUUUUGGUGAAAGAGUGGAGCCUAAUAGAGAGUGUUCUUAUUGCUUGUAACAUAUAUAUGCUUUCAUAUUUCCUUUCUCUUCCUAAUAUUUCCUUGGGUAAUAUCUCUUCCCUCUUCAAUAAAGUUGUAUAAGAGGUUUUCUCUCUCUAACAAAGUGAUAUCAAAGCAUUUCUAAGAAAUUAGUAAUAAAGCCUAUCUUAUUUUCCUAACGAGCUCAAAUUUGUCUUGAUCUUAGAAAUAUUAAGGUGAAUCUAAUUUAAACUCUUCAAAUCUUAACUAAGCUUAGUUCAUUUACACCUCUACCAUUAUCAAGAAUUAAGGUAUACUACUCUUUAAACCAAGUUAACAUUUCUAAUAUUGGAUAGUUACACAUUAAGAGAGGUAUAAUAAGGUGAUAAGGAUAACUCACCUACGUAACUAGUGUAUUUUUUUAUAGACAUUUUAACCAUAUAGUUAAGUUUCUUCCAAAAAAAAUCUCUACAUAAGUUUGUAUUCAUUUAUUACAUAAUGCAUCAAAUAGCUUUUGCAUCUUAUGCUGCUCAAUUCUUUGCAAUUGGUUGGUUAUGCCACAAUAGUCAGGAGGCAUUUAUGCGAAGCUAGUAUUCUCUUCUCAAGUAACUUUCUAUGUAUUCUUAUGUCCUUUUUCUAUUUUUUUGUAAAGGAUUAUUUUAUCCUUCUAUUUUAAUAGUCUUCUUUUGUUGUUUAUUGUGUUAUUGAUAUGGUUUUCCAGAUUUUUCACCUAACAUGCAUCAUCUUAGUUUGAGUGUAUAGAAGCCUACCAAAAUCUUAGUAGGAUGUGGUAUGCUAAUCUUUUUCUAUAUAUUAUAUUAAUAAAAUUCCUUGCCUAUUGAUAUCAUAGCUCAAAUUAAGCAUUAAAUUAGAUAAUAACAAAACUCAACUAGAAUUUAUCUAACAAUAUCUCAAAUUGUGUGUGAUAACCGCAGGACUUCUUCUACCUGGGGCGAGGCCGGGCUCAAGAGAAGAACACUAGCCCAAAACCCAUCAAGCCCACCUUAAGCAGACCGACCCAGCGUCUCGAGCUCUAAUCCGGACAUGCGGGGCAAGCCGGGCUUAUCGUAGACUCGGGUCCAACAGGAAGUAGUCCAGCCCAGUGAUGUGACGUGAAGGAGAAAAGCUAGCCCAGUCACUUUGCAGCCCUACCCGCAUGCACGUCGGGAGAAUUAAAUGGCUGCUUGGUAUGAAGAGGGACCCUGACACACCUGUAUGUACGAUCUUAGUGAUAGGGACAUAUGGCACUAUAGCAGAGAAGCGGUUAGGCAUCACUAGCUGACUAAAGGAAAAGGGAUAAAAGGGGAGGAACGUCUUCUUCUCCCUCCAAGCUCACACUACCACUGUAAACCCUACUUUUUGGAUCUCAAAACAUCAGUGUGCAAAGAUUCUUCCUAGGUAUAAUUGAAUUCUUGAUAUCAUGUUGGAAUUGACUACAAGUAAAGGAUUUUUAAGAAAAAUACAAGAAGAACCAAAAUCAAAAGAAGCUGGAAAGAUACCUUUAAAGCUACAUUAAAGAUUAUUGAACCUUAGAAAAUAGGUCUAUAAGUGAUAGGACUAAUGUAUACAGGUAACAGAAAGUAUUGCCAAUGAUAUGUUAGCACCUCAAAUUUCAAAUUUGAUCCCUUUAGCAAGUAUUUUGGACCCGUUUUGAAUCUUUUAAAGUCAAAAACAUUUUCUCUUUGGACUUGACAAUUAAACUCUUAGUUUGCUAACUAAAUUGCUAUUAUUAGUUGUUUGCUAAGUAGUUUGCUACUGUCUUAAAAUUCUAUCUCUACACAAAUUUACCAUUAUCCAAAUGUCCUAUAAAUGGUCAUAAAUGCUCUUGGACUAUAAAUACUUCAAUUUUACAUCAUUAUGUGCUUAAUAAAUGUCUUAAAAUGGUCCUAUUCUUUGAGAUCAUCGGUUCCGUUCAAAGUGUUUCAAUUUUGUUUGUUGAGCUUCAUUAGUAGACCUAUUUUGUCUCGUCUUCAUAAUUGAUGAUUUUAUUGAGUGAGUUGAGUGAAAAUUAAUCCACAAUGUCAUUUAUGAGGGUUGUUUAAGCACCUAGAGAAAUUGAAAAAGAGUGAGUUAGAAGUCACUUACAAAGGGUUGUGAGCACCUAGUGAAGGCUUAUUAUUGUAAAAAGCAUAUCUUAUCCAAUGAAAAGAGAAUAUAAUGAAGUAAAGAUUCAAAGUGAAGCUUUGAAAGAGUGGACAUAGGCUAGUUAUAGCAUAAACAAUAAGAAAGUCUUUGUGUUCAUUUCUCCAAGCCCUACUCUCUUUGCUUUAUUUCAUUUUAUUGAGUUAUAUUGAGAUUGAGGAAUUGAUUGUAAUUAGAUUUGGGUGCUUUAGUGAAAACUUCAUUGAGUUAAGCAUAUUUAUCUUUGUUCAUAUUGUUUUGUGCUGCUUUAGGUUACUUCCAUAUUCUAGAUUGAACAUCUUGUGAAAUAUAUAUGCUUGUUUGAAGUGAUUGGCACAUCUACCACAAUUAAGCACACUUAAUUGAUUUUAGCCUCAAUUCUUUAAAAGUAUCAAUAAAGAGUUGAAAAAUUGACCCCUAAGUAGUUUCAUUGGAGUUUUCUUCUAAUAAGAUGAGUUUGAGAAAAAUAUUUCAACAAAAUGGGUGAAAGGAAAAAUACUUCCUUAAUAAGGAUGAUUUUGGACAAUAAAUAAUAAGUCAAGGGUCAAGUCACUCUUCAAAAUCACGAUUUGCCCUUUAACGUGUGAUUGGCUAAAAAACUAUUUGACCUAAUUUUAAAGUUCUAUAUUCCAAUAAUACAAUCAUAAUAACUAAGACAGAUUUAGAAGAAAGGACAUAAUGGCAACUUGUCCCUUGCAGGAUCCAUUACCCCUCUUCACCAUGAGCCCAACAACCUAGGUUCCAUCUACCAAAGUCAUCAUCCAAUAAUUUUGGUGCAUGAAAUUGUUUGGAACCUAAAAUUACUCGUCUAUCUAGCUUGCUAGACAACUCCAUCUUUAUCUUAGUGGUCAACCAUUAAAGGGCUAGAAGAGGGUUGCACUACAUGGCUUAAAAGUACUUUGUUGAUGAGCGUUCGUGUGGAUCAAAGGUCAACGUUUGAGGCUCUCGGUUCUCAUGGUGAGAGAAAUGAUUCUAUACAACAAGAGAUAAGUAGACCUCUAAUUAUAAAAUAGGUUUUCUCUCUUUUACAUUUCUCAAAAUGGUUGAUGGGCUUAAGUUUCAAUUUGGAAGACAUAAGAGUUGCAUCUAGUUGUGUAUUUGUAAACUAUUUUUGUAAUACCCGGCUAGACACCGGCAUCGAAAUUCUGACUUUCCGGCGGAACGCCGUUGGAAUAUGGAAUUUGAGGAUGUCGGAGGUGUCAAAAAGGGUUAAAAAGAGUUUUUUUUCAAAAUGUGUUAGAAGUGUUCUAUGGUUUUGAAUGCAAAGGAUUGGAGUUUUGAAAGAAAAGACCAAGGGGACAAAGUGCAGGUUCGGCCGCCGAACAUUGCAUGGUUUCGCCCGCCGAAGGAAAAAUUUGGCUGCCGAACAUUGUAUGAUUUUGCAUGCAGGUUUGGCCGCCGAAGGAGAGGCGGUCAGCCAGCUAUAAAGGACCCUCAGUCGAUGAAAUGGAUAAGAGUUGCUUCCCUUUCACUAACAGAGGUGAGUUCUUGUUCUCCUUGGAUGGUUUUCAUGGUUUUUCUUCAAAUCUUUCAAAGUUAAGCAAGUUGUAAGUAAGUUUUGUGUAAGAGUUUAGAGCUUAGAGACUUUUGGAGCUUGGAUCUCCAUAACUUCAAGUUUGGGGUCACACCAGCCUUUGGUCUUCACGAGGUAUGUUUUCUAGUGUUUUAUAGUAUGAGUUUUAUGAUCCCUUGACCCAACCGUGAGGGAAGAAAGGGUUUCAAUCCCUUGAUCCACAGCGGUCAGUAGUCACUGGUGUAGGCCCUGAGGGCUGUUUCAGAUUUAUAUAUCUGAGUGAUAGUAGUUAAGCCUGGUAGUUUUACAGGAUUGUUGAUUAUGUUUGUUUGAUCAUGUAUGGGAUUUAUCAGGUGCACAGAGUGUUUAGUAGGCUUGCUACGGGUUUCGGCGGCCUUAAGCCGACCUGGAUCCUAGCGUCGGUGGCGGUCCGAUUUUCGGGUCGUUACAAUUUUAUCAUGGAACUUGAAUUGGCAAUGAGCUUGACACUCUAGAUUAACUAAGUUACAUUAUUUUAUGCAUGCGCUCUCCAUUGUGCAUUUUCAUAUAUACACAUAUAAGAAGAAGUUUUUUCUAUUAUUAUUUUAUUUGUAAAUAGUUAAUAUAAUCUUUAUGAUCUAGAUAUAAGAUAAGUAAGGAGAUAAGUGUUGAUAGGUAAGGGAAAACCCAUAUGUGCCUUCUUCCUCUAAAAGUCUCAUGUCCCAAUUAAUCAAAAGCUACAAAGAGAGCAAAAGGAUAAGGGCGUGCGAAGAGACAAUGGUCAUGGUGAAUGGUGCUAAAGAAUUUAGUGAUGACAAGACUACACUGAUGUUGAAGUGAAUAGUGCUUGAAGUUUUGGUAAAGAACAAUUAAGAUAGAGGCUUAAGAGAGUUAAAGACGUAAUCAAGAGAAGCAAUUUAGAGAAAGAGAAUCCAUAUAGCAUAAGAGGUAUUAUAUAAUUCGUUAUAGUUCGUUUCGAACUACUCAUCUUACAAAUAAAAAUAAAAUAAAAUGAAUUAUGCAUGAUUUUAAUUUAUUUUAGAAUCAAUUUUUUUAGUUAAAAUAUAGUUAAAUUUUUCCAUUUUAAUAAUAAGAUUGAUAAAAAAAAAAUCAAUUGAAUUUAAUUUUAGUAAUUUCUUUUUCAAAUAAAGUGUUAGAAAUAAAGGAGAGGAGAGAUAAAUGUAGAAUUGAUAUGUUAGCAAGUAGUUACUUUAGGUAUAACUUUAUUGUUCAAUCAGCUAUUAUGCAGGAUGAUGCUAAAAUUUAGGUCAUAGUAUUGCAAACCCCUUAAAUUUAGGAAUACUGUUUAAAAUUUAUCAAUGUUUUCUUCCACAUGGCACAUUUUACCAUUUUUUUGAUCGAUAUGUUUCUCCAGUUUUAAUAAAUGUGUCGGUUGAUCCUAAUUUUAUUUCUUAAAUCCUACACAUCUAUUUGAAAAAUAAACCUCUCACGUCAUCUAUGUUUAACUAAAAACAUAUAUACAAGUUUAGUGUAUGCAUGUAUAUAUAUAAGUAUCAUACCCAAUUAACAAUAGUAUUGCCUUGUUUAUCUGAAAGUUCUCUUCCAGUAAUCAGCUCUAGGAGUACAACGCCAAAAGAAUAGACAUCUGAUUUCUCUGACACUCUUUGUUUAUCACCAUAUUCUGGAUCUGCAUAACUAUAAUAGAAAAAUUCACUAAGAUUUUGUGUCAUCUAAUAUAUCAUUUCAUCUCUGAUUUUGAUAUAAAAAAACCAGUGGACAUCUAAACCUUUUUCAGUUAACAUUUAAUAAAUAAUCUAUAUAAAAAAAUAUUACUCUUUAACUCCUCUAUUUUGAGGUUCGUUAUACUUCUGUAAAAUAUAAUAAUUUAAAAUACAUGUUAAGAAAAUUUAUUUUAAUCUUGAUUAAAGACUAAAUACUAUCAAUAUUUAAAUUUAUAAAUAUUAAAUAAUAUAUAUAAUUAAAAUUAUAUAAAUAAAUUAAUGGAUUUUUUUAUAAAAAUAAAAUAAAAAAUUUAAUUCUAUAAAAUAUAAAAAAUUUUUAAUAAUAUAAUUUUCAAAUAAAAAUAAAUUAAUGAAUUUUGAAAUUUAAUAAUAAUUUUAUUCUUAUUUAUUUAGAAUUUGAAAAAAUUUAGACUCUUGCUCUAUAUUUAGGUGCGAGUAGUGUUCGAUUCAAACGGAAAAAAUUGACCGAAUCAAAUUAAUUUAAAAAUUCAAUUUGAUUUUUUAUUCAUUUCGGUUCGAUUCGGUUUAGUUUUUAAUUUUAAAAUUUUCAAUUAUUUCGAUUCAGUUCAAUUUUAAUAAGAAAAAACUAAAAAAAUCAAACCGAACCGAUUAAUAAUAAUAGUAUAUUAUUUUCAAUAAUAUAAAGAGAUUAAAUUAUAUUAAAAUUAAAAUAUUUCAAUUAAAUUUUAAAAUAUUAAAAAUAAAAUAUAAAUAAUAACAAAAUUAUUAAAAAUUUAAAUCGAACCGAAUCAAAUCGAAUCAAAUUAAUUCAAUUCGAUUCAAUUUCUGAUCAAAAUCGAUUUGAUUUAAUUUUUAUAAAUAUUAAAAUUUUAAUUUUCGAUAUAUUCGCUUCGAUUCAAUUUUCAAUUUGUCGUUGCUAACUACCAACUACCAACUACCAAGUGGUUAUACUUCAAUAAAUAAUGACUAAGAAAAGAAUAUUUUCUUACAUGUUGGUUCACCUUAGUAUACUGCUGAUAUGGUUAAUAUUACCCGUAUCAGGCAAAAAAUUUGCCAGUGAAAAAUCUGCAAUCUAAAACAAUGAUUUAUACAAUUAAGUAGAUUUUUUGGCAUAUAAUUUAACAUUAAAAAAUCGGAACAUAAUAAAAUUAACUUACGUCCAGAUAUCAAAUUAAAGUAGCACAAUUUUUUUUUUAAUAUCUCCUAGCAUUUAACUUAUUGUAUAAAUGCUGAACUUAUAUUUAUUAUGAGAGUACUAUACCUUUGGUUCAAAAUUAUCACUGAGAAGAAUAUUAUCUGCUUUAAUAUCUCGAUGUAUAAUUUUAGGUUUACUUGAAAUAAUAAUUCGAAUUGAAACAUUAAAUAAAUUGUCUAACACAUAAAACAAAUUAUUUUAAUUAGUCUCAAUAGCUAAUUAUAAUUUACAAAGUAGUGAAAUUACUCACAUUCUUCAUGCAGAUAAAGCAAUCCUCUGGCAGAGUUUAUUGCGAUUUUUAUUCUUUUCGACCAUUCCAAAAGCUUGUCUUCAUCUGUAUAAAUAUAUGUAAAACCUCACUUCAAAAUUGAACCAAGUCAAAAAAUAAUAAAUCAUUUUAUUCAAUCCCAUUCAAUUCUUGAUUUUGUUGUUAUUUUAUCCAAGAAGCAUUAAUUAUCUGGAAUUUCUUUGGGGAAGUGAAAAAAAUAUAUACAAACUCAUGAGAAUUGCAUCAAUAAAAUUAAGAAUCAAAGUUCAAUUUCAUCCAGAAUUUACAAUCGAAAGUUAAUAAUAAUAAUAAUAAUGAUCAUCCGUACUACUAAGGCAUACAAUCGAAAAGAUUUAACUGAUGGAUGAGAAGAGAUUAGCAGUAUUUGGCCUCUGAUUUCAGGGGCAGCAAGUUUGGAAUAAAAAUUUUCAUAAUAAUUCAAUUUUUUUCAAUCAAUUCUUUUAAUUAGAAUGGAAGAAUUCAUUCUUUUUGGACUCAGGUAAUUUUAAUUUUCAAAAGAAAUGAAAUUAUGUAUAUUUUAGUAAUAAUUCUUUUGAAUUAUUUUCUGAAAAAAUGAAUCGGGUAAAAAUUGAAUCCGUCCGUUCAAUUUCUUCAUUACAAUUGAAAUAACUCAGCCCAAUAUCAGUGCAUGAAAAGGCACUCACCAUGUAGAUGAUGUCUCAAAGACUUGUUGGGAACAAACUCUAAAACAAGCAAUUUAUCUUCUCCUUCACUGCAGUAUCCAAUCAUCUUAACGAUAUUUGGAUGGCGCACAACGCUAAGGUACUCAAUCUCCUCCAAUUUAUUCUCCAGCUUUACUAUUUUAAGUUUCUUUAUAGCAACAUCAUCAUCAUCUAAGGAUGCCUUAUAGACUAUCCCAAAACCACCCUCGCCAAUGCGGUGUACAUUGGAGAAAAAACGAGUUGCUUUUGCUAGUUUUUGGUAUUCAUAUCUCUUAAAUCCAUAUGAUUGAGCAAUCUCCGAGGCUGCUGGUGCAUCACGACUUCCAUUCUUAUCAGAAUAUGGUCCACAUUCAGCCGCAUAUGUAACCACUGACUGCUCAGGCAACGGUGCUGUAUUAUCUAACCAAGUUGUAACAUGCCAGAAUUAGUUAGAGGAGAAAGCAAAAAUCAGUGAAGAUACUAUCCCCAAGUACAGCUUCUAGUAAGAAAUGAAAUGAAUCCUUCAUGGAACCCAGCAAAAAAGAGCAUCAGUUUAGUUAUGGAAGAAAUAACAUAAUUCAAGAGCCUCUACGCUCUCAUAUUACUUUGGAUUCAUUGAACAGUGUCAGCUAAAACAGUAUACCUUUAAUGUCAUUGAGGCUAUCUGCCUGCGCAUUGCUCUUGCUCAAGAAGCAGCCCAUCAAAACCUGCGGAGUAGCUGCAGUUUUUCUUUUCUGACCACUGAUAGGGGAAGAGAAGAAGCGACGGCGAUGGUUACGGGAUGAGCAUGAGCGCCGAGAAGAUGAGAGGGUGGACUACGGAAGAGAAAAGAGAGCUUAGUCUUUAGGGUGGGCUCUGGGCAGGGGAAUAGUUUGAAAUAAUCUCAACCAUUCAAUCUCUAAUAUAUAAACAUUCUUUUCCAAUACCCUAUCUUUUAUAGCCGUGCUGUAAGCUCAUAAUACUAGAGUCGCAAUAAAGUCGCAGCCCUACAUCAUCGCAGCAUCAACCCCGCAUGCCACAACUCCAUUGCUGUGUUUUUUUUUUCAAUUUAUUUUUUGAACAUGUAAUGUUGUUCAUACUAAUCUUGGAGGGCCAUAUCAAACACCAUCACUUAAAAGGCAGUAAGUAUUAUAUUGCCUUUAUUGAUGAUUUAACUUGAAUGUGCUGGAUAUAUUUUUUCAGAUUCAAAUCAGAAGUGGCUGGAGUAUUUUCGAGAUUCAAAACAUGGACUGAAAAUCAAAGUAAAUGUAAGAUGAUGAUGUUAAUGACUCGUGGUUGUCGAAACCGAUUAAAAAUAACAUUUCCGGUUAUCAACAAUAUUAAUACUGCAGAUAGUGGUAAAGGAUCGAAUCCACAGAGAAUUGAUAACUUAUCUAUUUUCCUCAACAAGACCAAGAGUAUUAACUGAAAGUGCAACUGAAAGCAAGUAACUUAAAACGGAACAAAAAUAAAGUGUAAUAAAAAUAAAAAGGGAGGGCUUGAGAUUGAUUUGAUUAGCAAACUACUGAAAGCAAUUAAAUGAGCAAGUAAUUAAAAUAAAAGAAAAAUCUAAUAUGAGAAAAGUCUAGUUGAAGAGAUGGAUCCACUUUGGUUGUUUGGAUUGAUCAUUGAAACUUACGUUCUCUUGAUUGUUUCAAUAGAUUAGUUAUAGAGAUGGAAAACGCUUCUCACCACCAUGUCUCUCCUUAUGAUUAAAUCAAUUAGGGAACGUCCUCUAAUGAAUUACUAAUUAACAAAUUGCCAAUGAACGUCCUUGGGCCUUAGGCAUCAAAAUAGAGAGAUCCAAUCCUAGCUACUCAAACGCAUGAGAUGUUGCUAGAUCAUACAAUUCCUUAGUUGUUACACCAAGUGUUCUUAUGUUUGAAUAAUUCCAGCAAUUACGGACUAAAAAUUAUCCCAACUAGCAAUCAAUUACCUUGCAAUCAAGAACCAAGUGGCCAAUUUGAUCAAAACAACAAAGUAACAAUGGAUUCAAGCACCAAAUUAUAUGAAUAUUGAACAAACCAAAGACAAAUAGUUUAUGUUCAGAUCUCACAAUCCAUAAAACAACCUCAGUUUCAACCAAUCUUUAACUAGAAUUAAAGGUUUCAACCACUCAUGACUGAAACAAAACAGAAAAUAAAAGGAAAGAACUAGAGAAGAUGAACCGAAUUAGUGGAGAAGCUUGCUCCUAGCCUUGGCCGAAUGGGAGAGAUGGAAGGGGAUGAAUGGAUUCUGUCGUGGCUGGCCUUUUAGGAGUCUUUAAAUAUGUUUCAAGAUGCUGAUCUAGGGUUUCUUGGCUGUCCAUGAGUUUUUAAGAGGCUGCCCAAAUUGCCCUUGACUUUUACUUGCACUUUACCUUGCCGCCCAUGCACAUGUGUGAGGGUGUGGCGUGUGGCUUGUUUUCAAUUGCAAGGAGUGGGUCUUUUGGUCUUUGCUUGCUGCCCUAGUGUCUUCAAGAUGCUGCCCAAAGUGCCCAAAACUUGCCUUCACACCAUUCUUGCCGCCCAUGCACAGAUAAGGAAGGUGGAGCCUUCCUUUGCAAUUUAAAUUUUGAAUGUGCAAAGCAUGUGUGGCAUAUGUGACUUCUUUGGCUUCUUUGGUAACCUGAAUCUUGAAAUUCAAAAUUUAAAUAUAAAUCUUGAAUAUUUGAAUUUCAAAAUACUUUCCUUAUUUAACUCUUCUUUCAUGGCAACUUGAGACUUGGCUUCUUGAAUAAGGAAAAGGCUACUUAGAGAUUUGAAAUUUGAAUUUCAAAUUGCUUUAGCUGAAUGUUCUUUCCUUCUUUGCCACUUUUCUUAUUUAGAACUUUCCUUAUUUAGCUUCACUUAAUUUCAACUUGGCAGGCUUGCUUCCUUUUGCUCCAUUUAAGGCAGUUUUAAGGGUAUUUUCUCCAAAAUGUCCUUUUUCACUAAUUUCUGCAAAAUAAUAUCAAAAGCACUAAAUUAAGCAGAAAUCAUGUAAAUAAUCGUCAAUAAUAUCAAGACAAAAUGGACUAAAAUAUGCUCUAUCAAAUACCCCCACACUUAGCCUUUUGCUUGUCCUCAAGCAAAUAAACAUAGUCAAACAAGCUUUCUUUGCUACUUGAUCCUUAUUUCCACUUAACCUCUUACUCUAGACACCUAUUUUGAAUCAUUGCAGUGAAGAAUAUAUGCAUCAAGGUUACUCACCUUCUUUCCUUGUUUCCCUUUGCUUACCAUGGCUAGGAUUUGUUUUCCUCAAGAGAGAGAUCAUACAUGCACAUAUUAUUUGUUCAGAUAAGACUUUUUCUAGCUUUCAGAGUGACUUGCCCUUACCUUGAAGUACUUUAUUCAGCCUUUUUGCACUUUAAUCUUGCUUGAAAAAAUCACCAACCUUUUGAUGCGAAGGUAUAUAUUUUCAGUUGGUCACCUUUCCAAGUGGCUACUAGCUCUGUUCAUAGUUUUUCAACCAUUGGAACAGUUUUUUUUUUGUGCUUUUGAAGUCUAAGCCUUCGUUGAAUUUCUUUCUCUCAAUGAUUUGGGCAAAUCAACACCAAUUGCUAAAGUCAUGUUAAGUUCAUUCACACAAUUUUCAAUUUAUUCUCUCUAAUAAGUGUCAUCAAUAUAUUUUUCACCAUGGCAAGCUCAAAAAUUCAAUUCAAAAGGCAAUUCUCAAACAUGAAUAUAACUCACUGCAAUUGAUUCAAUAUAAGUUUAAAAAGUCAUCACAUCAAUGGGGUCAUAGAAAGAAAAGCUGAUCCAACAUAGUUAAUCAGUUUGAGUAGAGCAAAUCAAAAAGAAGAAGAAGGUUGUGGUUAUGUGUGUGUUAUUGAAAGCAUGAAUGAAAACAAACUAAAGGGAAAACUGUAAGCAAAAAUUUGCAUGAACUGAAAUAAAAUAAAGCAGAAGUCGCAAAUCUUAAAGAAAAAGAAAAAAAUUUCACAGAUCUAAAAUGAAAAAGAAGAAGAAAGAGGAAGAGAAGAAGGAGAGAUAUGCACCCCCACACCUAAAUCAUGCAUUAUCCUCAAUGUGUAAAAAAAACAUAAAAGAACAAAGGAAACUGAGUACUCCCCUGGGGUGUGGUAAGCAUGGUGUGAUUCCUUAGGCAGAAUGAGUGAUGAACAGAUGUUCGUCUGGGAAGUCUUCCUUGACUGGACAAGGUGUAGAGCUAGAUGGAAGCCGGCUGAGGUGGUCGGCUACAAGAUUUUUUUUUCCCUUUCUUGUCUCUUAUCUCCAGAUCAAACUCUUGUAAUAAAAGUAUCCACCUAAUGAGUCUUGGUUUGGUCUCUUUUUUCUUGAUCAGAUAUCGCAAAGCUGCAUGGUCAGAAUAGACGAUGACUUUGGUUCCCAAGAGAUAUGGUCUGAAUUUUUCUAAAGCAAAUACAACAGCUAAGAGCUCCUUUUCUGUUGUUGUGUAGUUGCUUUGUGUAGCAUCCAGUGUGCGAGAGGCAUAGUGAAUGACGUGGGGUGAGUUCCCCACACGUUGUCCCAAGACUGCUCCCACUGCAUAGUUGCUUGCAUCACACAUGAUUUCAAAAGGCAAAUUCCAAUCAGGUGCUUGAAUAAUUGGGGCAGUCACAAACAAUUUCUUUAUCAGAUCAAAUGCUGUUUUGCAACCUGCAUCAAAAUCAAAUGUCACAUCUUGUUGGAGCAAUUUACAUAAAGGCUGAGUGAUUUUUGAGAAGUCCUUUAUGAAUCUCCUGUAGAAUCCUGCAUGACCAAGGAAAGAACGGAUUUUUAAACAUUUGUAGGAUAAGGCAGAUUUUUAAUGGUAUCUACCUUAGCCUUGUCUACUUCAAUUCCUUUAGCUGAAACAACAUGUCCUAAAACCAUACCUUGAUUAACCAUAAAAUGACAUUUUUCAUAAUUAAGUACAAGGUUAGACUCAAGGCAUCUCUGUAGGAUCUUUUCCAAGUUGGCAAGGCAUUCUUCAAAGGAGUUGCCAUGCACUGUGAAGUCAUCCAUGAACACUUCAAUUGUCUUACCCACAUAGUCAGAGAAUAUGCUCAUCAUGCAUCGCUGAAAGGUGGCAGGUGCAUUGCAUAAUCCAAAUGGCAUUCUUCUAAAGGCAAAAGUGCCAAAAGGGCAAGUGAAGGUGGUUUUCUCUUGGUCCUCUGGAGCAACUGGAAUCUGAUAAAAACCUGAAUAACCAUCAAGACAACAGUAAUGGGACUUACCUGCAAGUCUUUCUAGCAUCUGAUCAAUGAAAGGUAGAGGGAAAUGGUCUUUCCUUGUGGCUGCAUUUAGCUUCCUAUAGUCCAUGCACACUCUCCACCCAUUUUGAAUUCUUGUGGGAACAAGUUCUCCUUCAGCAUUUGGGACAAUACUAAUCCCAGUUUUCUUUGGGACUACAUGCACGGGACUCACCCAUUUGCUAUCAGAGAUUGGGUAGAUAAUACCUGUAUCAAGGAGCUUAACUAUUUCUUUCUUCACUACCUCCAUCAUAGGUGGAUUCAAUCUUCUUUGAGCAUCUCUGACUGGCUUGCAUUCCUCUUCUAUGUAUAUUCUAUGCAUGCAUGUGGAAGGAGAAAUGCCUUUUAUGUCAUCAAUGAUCCAUCCUAUGGCUCCUUUGUGUUUCUGCAGUACUUUCAAGAGGCUUGCUUCUUCAUGUUGGCUCAAUUCAUUGGACACUAUUACUGGUAGUGUCUUGUCAGCUCCCAAGUACAUGUAUUUCAGAUGGCCUGGAAGAGGCUUUAGAUCUGAUUUUAAUGCUUUCUGACUUGUUUUCUGCGUUGGAUAUGUUUUAGCUCUACCUUGCGCAAGGCUUGACUGCAAAGGGGGACUGGAAGAGCUCGCUUGCGUUGGCGACUGAGGAGGUGCGAUCGGAAGCUGAAAGGGUGUGUUGGUGGUGGAGUCAGUCUGCGCAAGGCCUUUCUGAGGUGGUGCGACAGAGUUUUCUUCAAUCUGUGCUUGACUGCAAUUUACCGGUUGGAUGCUACAGACUGUCUCUUUCAAUUUUGGCUCUUUCUGGCUCUCAUUCCUGCAAAGAUCAUCAUUCAGAAUACAAUCUUGAUUCUCAUCAAAUAUUUCUUGGCUCAAGCAGUCAAUAAUAUCAAGACCAUAAACAGAGGACAUAUCAUGUGGAUAUUUCAUAGCAUCAUAGACAUUAAAUUUAAUGACUUCCCCUUCAAACUCCAUAGUCAAUGUACCAUCAUGCACAUCAAUCUUAGUCCUAGCAGUACUCAAGAAAGGACGUCCAAGAAGGAUAUCAGAACUAGUAUUGUAACUUUCUUCCUUAGUAUCAAUCACAUAAAAAUCUGCAGGAAAGACAAGUUCAUCUACUUGAACUAACACAUCUUCUAGAACACCUAUGGGAUAUACCACAGAUAUAUCAGCUAGUUGAAUCACAACUUUUGUGUCUUUCAGUGCACACGCAUUCAAAGAAUUAUAAAUGGAAAGAGGCAUAACAUUUAUGGAUGCACCAAGAUUACACAUAGCUUUCUUAAUUCCUACAUUCCCUAUAUUGCAGGAAAUAGCAAACAUACUUUUAUCCUUGCAUUUAGUAGGGAGCUCUCUCUUAAUAACAGCCGUAACAACUUCACCUACACUUACUUUCUCUCUUUUAGCUAGCUUUCUUCUAUUGGUACACAGUUCUUUCAGAAAUUUUGCGUACCUGGGAAUCUACUUAACAGCAUUUAACAGAGGUAUGUUGAUUUCCACUUUUCUGAAAGUCUCAAGGAUAUCCUUUUCUUCCUUUUCUUUUUGUGUUCUUUCAAAUCUUUUUGGAAAAGGAGGUGGAAUGCAAAAGCUUACUUUUUUAUCAGUCUUCCACGCAGGUGGUGUUUCAGAUUGCGCUGGAGAGGCUUCAGGUUGCAUUGGUUCUUGUGCAAAUGGUGUUUCAGAUUGCGCAGGUGGUGCUCUUCCAUUAGUAUUGACCUCUUGUAGCUCCUUCCCACUUCUCAAAGUAAUGGCACUGACAUUCUGUCUGGGGUUAGUUUCAGUUUGAAAAGGAAGCUUACCUUGGGAUUCAACUUUGCUCAUGAAUGCGGUUACUUGUCCCAUCUGUUGUUGGAGAGUCUGCACAGAGCUUGUAAGUGUCUCCAUCAUCUUUUCGAGGUGUUGAUUUGAACUUGAAGGUGCUGGUUGGGCUUGAUUCCUGUAGUAGUUUUGAUAGUUCUGAUUAUUGUUAGCCCUUUCGUAGCUGAAAUUGGGAUGGUCUCUCCAGCCUGGAUUAUAUGUGUUGGAAUAUGGAUUAUGUCUAGGCUAGUUGUUAUAUCCUCCAAUGGCAUUAACUUGCUGGUUGUCUUCUUGAAGAGUAGGACACUGAUCAGUUGGAUGUCCUACAUAUGCACAAAUCCCACAUGGCCUAGGUGGCUGGGAUGCUUGAACCUGUUGAACUAGUCCAAUGGCAAAGUCUUUCAUAAAAGAUGUCAGUUCAGAGAUAGAAGGUGAACUUACCUCAUUGACUCUUCUCUGCAGUUGUUUUUCUUCUCCAUAUUGCCUAGAUGAGGCUGCAAGUGUUGAGAUCAACUCUCUCAUCUCCCUAGGUGUCUUGUCUGCAAUGGAUCCUCCACAGGCUACAUCAAUGAAUCUUCUUUCUGAAGAAAGCAGUCCUACAUAGAAGAAUUCUAUGAGUGCCUUAUAUGAAAUAUCAUGUUGAGGACAACCUGUACACAAACUUUUAAACCUUUCCCAAUAAUCAUAAAAGUCCUCAGAUAGUUUCUAUCUAAUGCUACUGAUUUCUCUUCUUAUACCAAUAGCUUUAUGAGUUGGGAAAUAUUUAUUCAAGAAGGUUAUUACCAUGUCAUCUCAAGAAGUAAUAGAUCCAGGAGGUAAGUAAAACAGCCAAUCCUUAGCAUAAUCAUCAAGUGAAAAAGGAAAAACUCUUAACUUAACAUGAUCUUCAGAAAUAUCUUGAGGUCUCAUAGAUGAAUAGACAAUAUUGAACUCUUUCAAGUGUUUGUGUGAAUUUUCAUUUUCUAAUCCUCUAAACUUACGGAGGAGAUGAAUCAAACCUGUUUUCAGUUCAAAGGGAACUGUCAGAGGUGGAUAGGUGAUGCAAAGUGGUGCUUGAUCGCCUAUAGGUGUUGUCAAUUCUCUCAUGGUUCUUUCUCUUGGCAUUGGUGUUCUCAUGGUUGGAUUUUCUUGAAUUAUUUGGUCUUGGACAGCAUGUCCAUUAUGGGCAGCAUGUUGUGCACGAUGUUCAGCCAUUGGUGUGGCUUGAUGGUGCGGUUGGAGUGUUUCAGAUGAAGCUUCUGCGCAGGGCACUCCUUCAGGUGCGAUGGGAGCUUCUUCAAGCGGGACUGCUUGCUUUCCUAGUCUUCUGAGAGUGGUCAUGAAAGAAAAAUAAACAAGUUAGAACAAUUCUCCGGCAACGGUGCCAAUUUUUGACUCGCGGUUGUCGAAACCGGUCAAAAAUAACAUUUUCGGUUAUCAACAAUAUUAAUACUGCAGAUAGUGGUAAAGGAUCGAAUCCACAGAGAAUUGAUAACUUAUCUAUUUUCCUCAACAAGACCAAGAGUAUUAACUCAAAGUGCAACUGAAAGCAAGUAACUGAAAGCGGAACAAACAUAAAGUGCAAUAAAAGUAAAAAGGUGGGGGUUUGAGAUUGAUUUGAUUAGCAAACUACUGAAAGCAAUUAAAUGAGCAAGUAAUUAAAAUAAAAGAGAAAUCUAAUAUGAGAAAAAUCUAGUUAAAGAGAUGGAUCCACUUUGGUUGUUUGGAUUGAUCAUUGAAACUUAUGUUCUCUUGAUUGUUUCAAUAGAUUAGUUAUGGAGAUGGAAAACGCUUCUCACCACCAUGUCUCUACUUAUGAUUAAAUCAAUUACUAAUUAACAAAUUGCUAAGGAAUGUCAUUGGGCCUUAGGCAUCAAAACAAUUGUCAAUUGCAUGAAAAAAUAGAGAGAUCCAAUCCUAGCUACUCAAACGCAUGAGAUGUUGCUAGAUCAUACAAUUCUUUAGUUGUUAUACCAAGUGUUCUUAUGUUUGAAUAAUUCCAGCAAUUACGGACUAAAAAUUAUCCAAACUAACAAUCAAUUACCUUGCAAUCAAGAAUCAAGUGACCAAUUUGAUCAAAACAACAAAGUAACAAUGGAUUCAAGCACCAAAUUGUAUGAAUAUUGAACAAACCAAAGACAAAUAGUUUAUGUUCAGAUCUCACAAUCCAUAAAACAACCUUAGUUUCAAUCAAUCUUCAACUAGAAUUAAAGGUUUCAGCCACUCAUGGCUGAAACAAAACAGAAAAUAAAAGGAAAGAACUAGAGAAGAUGAACCGAAUUGGUGGAGAAGCUUGCUCCUAGCCUUGGCCGAAUGGGAGAGAUGGAAGGGGAUGAAUGGAUUCUGCCGUGGCUGGCCUUUUAGGAAUCUUUAAAUAUGUUUCAAGAUGCUGACCUAGGGUUUCUUGGCUGUCCAUGAGUUUUUUAAGAGGCUGCCCAAAUUGCCCUUGACUUUUGCUUGCACUUUACCUUGCCGCCCAUGCACAUGUGUGAGGGUGUGGCGUGUGGCUUGUUUUCAAUUGCAAGGAGUAGAACUUUUGGUCUUUGCUUGCUGCCCUUGUGUCUUCAAGAUGCUGCCCAAGGUGCCCAAGACUUGCCUUCACACCAUUCUUGCCGCCCAUUUAUAAAUAAAGAAGGUGGAGCCUUCCUUUGCAAUUUGAAUUUUGAAUGUGCAAAGUAUGUGUGGCAUGUGUGACUUCUUUGGCUUCUUUGGUAAGCUGAAUCUUGAAAUUCAAAAUUUGAAUAUAAAUCUUGAAGAUUUGAAUUUCAAAAUACUUUCCUUAUUUGGCUCUUCUUUCAUGGCAACUUGAGACUUGGCUUCUUGAAAGAGGAAAAGGCUACUUGGAGAUUUGAAAUUUGAAUUUCAAAUUGCUUUAGCUGAAUGUUUUUUCCUUCUUUGCCACUUUUCUUAUUUAGAACUUUCCUUAUUUAGAACUUUCCUUAUUUAGCUUCACUUGAUUUCAACUUGGCGGGCUUGCUCCCUUUUGCUCCAUUUAAGGCAGUUUUAAGGGUAUUUUCUUCAGAAUGUCCUUUUUCACUAAUAUUUGCAAAAUAAUAUCAGAAGCACUAAAUUAAGCAGAAAUCAUGUAAAUAAUCAUCAAUAAUAUCAAGACAAAAUGGACUAAGAUCUCAUAAUAGAAAAGAGUAUACCUCAUAUCAGUUCAAUAAAUUUUGUGAAGAGGCAGGGAUCGAGCAUCAAUUGACUACUCCAUAUACUCCUUAGCAAAAUGGAGUAAGUGAGCGAAAAAAUAGAACUAUAAUGGAGAUGACUCGUUGCUUGUUGUAUGAGAAAAACCUUUCUAAAAAGUUUUGGGCAGAAGCAGCCAAUACUGCAGUUUUUUUAUUGAAUAGAUUGCCUACUAAAGCUCUCCAGAAGCAUACUCCUUACGAAGCAUGGUAUGGUCACAAACCCUCUCUCACAAAUCUGAAAGUGUUUGGAUGUUUUUGUUUCUCUUAUAUUUCUCAAGUUAAAAGAGAUAAAUUGGACAAGAAAUCUGAGCCUAGAAUUUUCAUAGACUAUAGCAGUGUCUCAAAGGCCUAUAGAAUAUUUCAGCCACAAAAUGAGAAUAUCAUAAUAAGUAGAGAUGUUUUUAUGGAGGAGGACCAAUGGAAUUGGAGUGCAUGUGAUGAUAUUCAACAUUUGAGUAUGCAGCAGCCCACUGUGGAGGAUGUUGAUGAACAACCAGUUCGUGGUACACAGUUGCUAUCUGAAAUCUAUGCAAGAUGCAAUGAAGCAUUAUUAGAGCCGACAAGUGUUGCUGAAGCAAUGAUGGAGCAAAAAUGGAAGCUUGCCAUGGAAGUAGAGAUGCAAAUGAUUGAAAAAAAAUAAAACCUGGAAGCUUGUUGAGAGACCUCAAAACAAGAAAAUUAUGGGGUGAAAUGGGUUUUCCGAACAAAGCUUAAUGCUAAUGGAUCAAUAAAUAAGCAUAAGGCAAGGCUCGUUGUGAAGGGCUAUGCACAAGUCUUUGGUGUGGACUUCUCGAAGACUUUUGCUCCUGUUGAAAGGCUUGAUACUAUAAGAUUAUUGUUGGCUAUGGUAGCUCAAAAAGGCUGGAAGGUGUUUCAGUUAGAUGUCAAGUCUGCGUUUUUGAAUGGUCCUUUGGAGGAAGAAAUUUAUGUCGAGCAGCCAGAAGGUUUUGUUGUGCAAGGGCAUGAAGAUAAAGUGUAUUUGCUUAAAAAGGCAUUGUAUGGCCUUAAGCAAGCACCAAGGGCUUGGUACAAUCGUAUGAAUAAUCACUUGCUAAGCUUAGACUUUGUGAAAAGUCUUAGUGAAUCAACUUUAUAUAUAAAGAAAAAUGGUGCUGAUUUGACCAUUGUUUCUAUUUAUGUUGAUGAUCUUCUUGUUACAAGAAGCAAACAGGAGCUUAUUGACUGUUUUAAGGCUGAAAUGUUCAAAGAAUUCAAAAUGACCGACUUUGGAUUGAUGUCUUAUUUUCUUGGUUUGGAAGUAAGACAAAGGAAGAAUGAGAUCUUCAUCAAUCAAACCAAAUAUGCAAAAGAGAUCCUAAAGAAGUUUCAUAUGGAAGGGUGUAAGCCAAUUGACACUCCUAUGCAGCCUAGAGUAAAAUUCUAUAAAGAUGAUGGUGCUGUCAAAGUGAAUGAAAAUCAUUAUAGAAGUUUACUUAGUUGUCUCAUGUACCUCAUUGCCUCCAGACCUGAUAUAACACAUGUUGUUAGCCUCCUCUCUAGAUUUAUGCAUUGUGCUAGUGAGGAACAUUUACAAGCUGCAAAACGUGUUGUGAGAUACAUAAAGGGAACAAUUGAUUUUGGAGUAAAAUAUGCUUGCUAUCAAAAUUUCAAGUUGGUUUUUCUGACAGUGAUUGGGCAGGUUUAAUAGAUGAUAUGAAAAGUACUACAGGUUUCUGCUUUAAUUUUGGAUCAGGUGUGAUCAAUUGGUAUUCCAGAAAGCAAGAAAUCAUUGCUCAAAGCACUGCAGAGGCUGAAUUUGUUGCUGCAACUGCUGCAGCAAACUAUGCUUUGUGGCUCAGGAAAAUUCUCAAAGAUUUGAAUGAAGAACAGUUAGAGCUAACGCCAAUCUUUGUUGAUAAUCAGGCAGCCAUAUCAAUCUCAUCUAAUUCAGUAUUUCAUGGGAAAACAAAGCAUUUUAAGAUUAAGUUCUACUUUCUGAGGGAAAUUCAAAAAGAAGGAGAAGUGUUGUUAGUUUAUUGUAGAAUUGAGGACCAGGUCACUGAUGGUUUUACUAAAGCUUUGCCUAAAGCUAAAUUUGAAGAUUCAAGAAAUAAAAUGGGAGUUUGCAGCAUCAAAGACAAAGAGGAGUGUUAGAAAUUGUCUUAGAUACUACUGAUUUGCUAAAGUUGUUAAACGUGCUGUGUAGUUCCUAUUUUUCUGUUUAGAUGGUUUGUUAAAUGACUUGGUUUACAAUCUGUAACCAAGUUGUAGGAAAUUUGUUAUUUAUUUUUUCUGUUAAGCAUGUUUGUUUCUAUGUUUUGAUUAUGGGUAGAAUUAUGGGCCAUGAUCUUUUAUCAAUUAUUUUUGUUUUAUAUUUAAAACAGUAUUUUCUUUCAAUGAAUUGUGUUGUGUGGGGUUCAGUUCUGUCCAUUUCUGUUUUUGUUAGUUUUUGCUAACAAGGACCAAAACCUUAGUAGAUGGUGCAAAGGGCAUAGGUGGUUAAAUUAACAGAGAUUGCAGAUACAUAAACCUACCACCAUGUGCUGCCCUUGCCCUUAUUGGCUCCAUACAAGCGGAAGAGGCUGAAAGCUGAGAUACAAGACAGUGCCACCAUGCUAACACUUACCAACAGUGAACUUGCUGUUCCCUCCCCAACUUGGUUGCAGAAUUUUCCAUACAUAUUGCAUACCUUCAUCCAUUGUAGUUCUGGUUGUCCUAACUUCGCAAAUACUGAAGACUGUGCAGCAGCUGCAACUGCUGCUACUGUUACGUAUGCCAUCACCUGCACAAAUGGCUUAAUGAGUAAGAAUUAGGUGGCCUUAUGUUUCAAAAAUUAGUCCAGAAAAUAUUUUUCAAAAAUUUUAGUUGCAAUGUGGAAAAAUAAAUGCAGGUAACAAAUUUAUAGUAAUAAGAUUUUAGAAGUCCAAAAAAUUGAUUUUUUUUAAAAAAAGAGCAAGUCAUUUUCUUUAAAAAUUAUUAACUAAUUUUUCUGAAUGCUUUAAAUGUCAAAAAAUGGGAAAAAAAUAUGUAUAUAUAUUUAUAUUUUUUUCUCAAAAGUAUUUUACAGCAUUUAGUACUUCAACAUUAUGGAGCCUUUCCAAGCCUCUAGCUCAGAUUUAUCAUAAACCUUUUAAAGGAAAAGAAUGCUGAAAUGAAUCAUUUGUAUCAUAAAUAAUAGAUCCCACUACUAGACUACUACUCUCUCUAUAAACAGAAUCCUUGAACUUUUUCACUACAUAACAUUGAUUCCACUACUAGACAACUAACUUCUCCAUUUCUGAGUUAACAACAAGCACUACAGAUUCAUCUUUGCCUUUUCUUUUUCUUUCUUUUUCUACUGCAAAAAGCAUACAAGUUAUACUCGCUCCAUAAUUUGAUCACUGUGUUUAAACUGAAAGGAGUCGGACAGGAUCUGGAUGACAUUCAUCACUAAUAAAAAAAAAAUUUGAAAAUGGAAAGAUACUAUAAUGUAUUAUGAAGAAGGCUGUUCAAAAUGAUUCCUUUUACAAGACUGAUUUACUUCAAGAUCUUAAGUUGAAAUCUAAAAGAAGAAUGUGAGACAGAAGAGAAUAAAAGAGUUGAGGCUAAAAGUACAACUACUCCAGCAAGUUAACCGGGCUUUAGCCAAUUCAACAGUUCUGUGGUUGACAAAAUAUACAAGGCGUACAACCAUAGUUGUAAAAUUGAGAAUUGAAAUUUUCAUUUUGUGAAUCUUGAAUCAAGAAUCGAAUCUUACGAUUCAGAAAAACAUAUUUAAAAAUUAAUUAAAAAUAAUAUAUGUUCUAAAAAUAAGAAUAAAAAUUAUCAUAAUCACAUAUUUUAAUAAAUAUAGAAUUAUUAUUUAUAAUAAUAUAUUUUUAUUAUAUUAUAUAGUUUUAUAUUAUAAAUUAGAAGCUCUUAAAUUAUAAAUAAUGAUUAUCAUUAUGUAUAUACUGAAACUCUCACUUAAAUUUAUCAAAUAAUUAAAUAAUAAAAAAGUUAAUAUGUUACAUUGAAACAUUACAAUAUAUUAAUAUAAGAGAGAAAGGGAAAGGGAAAAAAUGGGUGAUGGAAGAAAAAUAGAUUAGCAAAAAGUUUAUGUGCACUUUUUAUAGCAAAAAUAAAUGAAUUAUGAAACUAAUACCCUUUCAAAAUAUAAUCCCUUGAAUUGAAUAAAAAUUUGGUCUUUUCAUAACGAUUCACUUGAUUCAUUAUCAAUUCUUUCAAUUUAGUCUCAAUUUAGGUAUGGUUUGCGUCAUAGAUGCGAAUCGCUUGAAUGUGAAAUAGAAUUGAGAAUCAUAAUAUUUGAAUCAAGAAUCAUAAGAUCAAUUAUAUUUAAGAUUCGCCAUAUAAAUUCAAAUCGAUGUGGUAGAAAAUAAAUUUGAAUCAUAAGAUUCGAAUUGAGAAUAGUGGGUAUACAGAUUAAACCAUUUGUCAUUAACAUAUAUAAGGUGUAGAGAAGAGGACACCUAGUUCAUUAAUAUAAAUCAUCAUGUUACAUUUAAGAUUGAGAAGCAGCUAAUAAUUCCAUCAGAAAGUAGGUCCAGCAAUUUAGUUACAAGGGAGACUGAGUGGGUGAUGUUUUGGAUACUUGUUCAAUUAUUGUUGAAGCAGGAUCAGACUUGAAGUUGAGGAUGCAAGCAAAUUAUCUCCAACGACAAGAUAAGAUAAAAGAAAACCACGAGUAUGGACCAAAUCGCACUACAACUGAGCUGCAAGGUGUCUAGAUCAUAUAUCUAAUAUUUGUGUUUGUGGAAGUAUUUUCAUAUCUUUAUAAGAAUUUAGUAUUUUAAUCCGUAUUAGCCAAAGAUUGUAGCUAGAGUUCGAGUAAAAGGAGAUUUCGUGUGAAAAGAAGGAUUUUGCAAAAAUUUUAUAAAUAUCUAAAAAUCAAUGUGUAAAGAGGGUUUGGUCUUCACCUUGAAGAAACUUUUAGGGGAACGAAAGAAUGUAGGUGGGAAAGGGCUAAACCUCUAAACUUCUAUUUGCAAUAUUUUCUAACAAUACUGUCUAUUUUUAUUGAACUUGUGCAUGCGUUGCUUAUACUGUGGUCGCUGAGUAUUAAUAGGAAAUUAUCUUUAGAAGAUCUUAUUAUAUCUGUGUCAAAUUUUUCAGAAACAUAAUUUACUCCCUUCUUGGGUUACCUUCGAGCCUUGUAACUGCCAUGAUAAAUGUUUCUAGUCCCAUGGAUACCAACUAUUAAAACCUGUACAAAGCUGCACUAAUCUCAAAAUCAAUAUGAUGGUGAGAAUAAGAUAAAAGUCACAAUGAGAGAAGAUCAUUCCACAAACAAGCCAAACCACCAUCCGAAUUAGAAUCCCUUAUGACAAAUAUAUUCUUAUACCCAAACAUAUACUUAGUACACCUCAUCCUCUCUUAGCCAACUUAAAUUUCCAUGAGAGAGAAUAUCAGAAACUUGAGGCAAAUACAAAUGCCGAAGCUUAGCAACAAAUCAAUAGUAUUCUCAGUUGAGAAAAUUGAAGAGAGAUAAGAGCAUAGUAAGACUUGAUAAUAGUAUCAACAUAUGGGAAACAGGAACAAAUAGUUGAAUAUAUUAAUCGCAGCCAAGGCUAAGGAGACUUGAUCAUCUUCGUUUGCAGAUCAUUUGCAUCCUUAUAUUAACUUGUUAUGCACUUAAUAUUGUGGCCCAUCCUUAAGGUAAGUGUUGUCACUGUGUAUCCAUAUACUUUCUGAUUUCAUAUUCCCUUGUAAGACUUCAACAAUCUGUAUCAAGUAGCAAUAUUAGUUAACAACUAGGGAUGACAUGGAUGAUAAUUAACUUAAACAAAUUAUUUUUUUCAAAUUUCUGUGAUUUUUUAAAUAUUAAUAAUUUUGCAUCAACUUGCAAAUUAUGUAUAAUUGUUUCCGUAUAUAUGAAUCCUGUAAUUUAAAAAAUAGUAAUAAUAUAUUUAGCCAAUACUUAAAAAAUAAUUAAAGGUAGGUCUAUUGAUUUUAUCAUACCUGACUUAAUUUUGGACGAGUUUUCGCAGGUUUGUAUACACAAGCUGCAGCACAAUGAAUCAUUUGAAUCAUUUCAAUUAUUUCACAAUUGUUCUGCAAUUUGACAUCAAUAAUACUGUUGUAAUUAUGUGUAUUAAAAGCUUCUGCGAGUUGAGGUGCCACCUGAAAUUUUAAGAUAAAAAGUAUUAGCGAUAAUUAUAUAUCUCUUAUCAUAGAAAUAUAUAAUUUUAUUCAAACGUUAAUAUAAAAAUAAUUAAAACAAUACUAACAUAACAAAAAAUUUCAUGCUUGUUUACAUGUUUAAUUUCAAAAUAAAUCAAUUACAACAUUAAAAUGGCAGAACUAAUUUUGUUUUGAAAAAAAAAAAGAUAACAUAAAAAUUAUAUUACUCUUAAAUUAACAACACUGUAAUGCUAAUAUUCUAUCCAAUCAAACAUAUUUCUAUUCGGUAUACAAGAAUCUAAACUUAAUGUGUAUAUUUCAUCUUAGUUUUGCUUAUCUUGAGGCCCUUACUCUUGAGAAUCCUUAUCCAUAACUCCAAAAUUAACUCAUUGAUUAAAUUUAUCCACUGAGACAACAAAAUUAUAAAUAAUAUACAUCAUGGAACAUCAUAUUUAAAAUGUCUAACCAUAACUAAAAUUAUUAUAUCGAGACUUAAAGUUGAUCUCUAAGGUAAACCUAACAUUAUUCUCUCGUACAUGUCCUUAGUAAUUGUUAUAGAUUAUAGGAAGUAAAUAUUCUAAUAUAGGAAAUAAAUAUUAAUAAAUGUAUUAGUUGCUUAAUCUUAGGAAUUUCAUAAACAUAAGUUUGAUUUUCUUUCCUUUCUAGAUAUGAUUUCUCAUGUAUAAAUAUGUUGUAAUCUUUAUUGUAAGAAGAAUAACAAAUAUUACCUUUCUACAUUGUAUCAGAGCCUCUCAUGUGAGAUUUGAAUUUUUUUUCCUGUUCUAUUUGGAGACUCGGGACUCCUGUUCUUUUAGGUUAUCUAUAGAGGGUAACAUUUAUCUCUCACCGCUCACCCAGGAAAGACGCGGGAGCGCUGGCGAAGCGUCCCUAAAGAGCCGACGGUUGUCCGGCCAGCGAGUGAGUUUCACACACCGCGGUAAGAUUUCUGACGGUCCCACUCAUCAGCACGUGGAGGUGCGUCGCAUGUCCGUUGCUACUCUGGUCACCCUCACCGGAGUCGCCUCGAAGCCCCCUCAGUAGUUCUGCAGUCUGUUUGCCGAUUAGGUAUUGAGUAUAGGUGUUUUUAGGUUUGGAUCGCAUUCUGGCACUAUUCACCUCCAUUCUCUGGUACUGUUCACGCCUUAUUUCUUAUGAUUGCCAUUAUUUUGGUUGGUUGUUCUUAUGGCUGUAAUUAAAAACACCGUAGCUAAGGUAAUUUUGGUGAUGACUAAAAUCACGGAAUACAAAUUAAAUAGAUCUAAUUUUAUGGAUUGGAGUAAAACUAUCCGUAUUUAUUUAUAAAGUAUUAGAAUGGAUGAUCAUCUUACCAAGAAUCCUCCAAUUGAUGAAACUAAGAAAGAUAGGAUAAGGGAUGGUACUCGAUAAUUUUUGCAGAUCCAAAAUUCUAUUCAUAGUAAGGUAAUCAGCCUCAUUAAUUAGUAUGAAUUUGUUAAAGAAUUAAUGGAUUAUUUGGAUUUUUUAUAUUCUGACAAAGAGAAUAUUUCUCGUAUUUAUGAUAUGUGUAAGGCAUUUUAUCAAGCUGAGAAAUAUGAUAGAACUCUGACCUUCUAUUUUAUGAAUUUUAAAAGAGUGUAUGAGAAACUUAAUGUCUUGAUGCCUUUCAGUACAAAUGUGAAAACUUAACAAGCUCAACGAGAGCAAAUGGCUGUUAUGAGCUUCAUUGCAGGUCUUCCUCCAAAGUUUGAGAUAGUUAAAUCUCAAAUUAUUUCUUACUCUAAAAUAUCAUUGUUACAUGAUAUUUUCACUAGAGUGUUGCAUACAAAGUCUCCAAUUCCUUCACACACCACUAGUACUUUUGUUAGUCACAAUGACAGUGGAAGAUAAAAUAACAGAGGUAGGUACAAGGGAGAUUUUAACGGUGGUAGGGGAUCUGAGCGUCCUUGGAAAGCAAUUCCUACUUCUGACUCCGGUGGAAUCAUUUGUUAUUACUGCCGUGAACCUGGACAUACUAAGAAGACAUGCCUGAAACUUCAAAAUAAGAAUCAGCGCUUACAAAUGGUGCAUAUAGUAGUUGAGGCCUCUUCUGAUCAAGAAAUUUUGAUAUCUGCAGAUGAGUAUGCACAAUUCACUCAAUACUAGGCACCUCUGAAAUCCUCCAACUCUUUUAUCACUGCAAUUACUAAGUCAGGUAACUCUACUACAUGUCUUGUAUCUUCAUCCUCCAAAUGGAUUAUUGAUUCUGGCACUACCGAUCUUUUGUCAGGUAAUUCUACACUUUUGUCCAAUCUUAAGUCUCAUGCAUCAUCUUCUUAUGUUACUUCUUAUGUUACUCUUGUUGAUAGCACUAAAUCUUCUAUCAUGAGUUCUGGACAUGUCAACUUAACCCUUUCUCUUUAUGUAUCCUCUGUGUUAUGUCUUUCUAAGUUCUCCUUUAAUUUGCUUUCCGUUAGUAAACUUACUCGUGCACUGAAUUAUUGUGUCUCAUUCUUUCCUGAUCAUUGUGUUUUUCAGGAUCUUUCAACAAAGCAGAUUAUUAAUAGAGGGCGUGAAUCAGAUGGUCUUUACUUCCUGGAUCAAUAACUACCUAGAUCUCUUGCAUGUUCCACGAGUGUAACGUCUUUUGAUGUUCAUUGUCAUUUGGGUCACCCUUCUCUCUCAGCUUUGAAGAAGUUAUGUCUAUAGCUUCACUCCUUGUCUGUUUUAGAUUGUGAGUCUUAUCAUUUGCCAAAUGUCACCGUUUACCUAUAGCGUCUCGAGUCAAUAAACGGGCUUCAUUCUCUUUUGAGUUAGUACAUUCAGAUGUUUGGAGUUCUUGUCCUAUUGUGUUUAAGUCUAGCUUUAAGUACUUUAUUACUUUUGUUGAUGAUUUCUCUCGCACUACUUGGUUAUUUCUAACGAAGAGUCGUUCAGAAUUAUUCUCUAUCUUUUGUGCUUUGUAUGCUAAAUUCCAAACUCAAUUAAAUAUUUUCAUUUGAAUAUUGUAAAGUGAUAAUGUUAAAGGGUAUCUUUAUGUGGAAUUUCAAUUUUAUUUGUUACAAAAAGGGAUUCUUAAUUAGUUUUUCUAUGUUGACGCUCCUUCAUAGAAUGGGGUUGCAGAAAGAAAAAAUCAACAUCUUCUUGAAGUAGCUAGAGCCCUCUUAUUCCAAAUGAAAGUACCUAAAUACUUUUAGGCUGAUGCUGUAUCCACUGCUUUUUUUUUAUCAAUCGCAUGUCCUCCUCCGUCCUUCAUGGUGAUAUCGCUUAUAAUAUUUUAUUUUAACUAAAUCAAUAUUUCCUAUUGAGCCACGUAACUUUGAUUGUACUUAUUUUGUUCAUGAUGUUUGUCUACAGGUUACUAAAUUAGAUCUCAAAUCACUUAAAUGUGUCUUUCUUGGCUACUCUCGACUUUAAAAAGGGUAUCGUUAUUUUUUUCCUGAUCUUAAUCUGUACUUUGUGUCUGUUGAUGUAACAUUUUUUGAUUCCACUCUAUUCUUUUGACUAUUAUCUGUUUAUGACACCCAAGGAAAGGAAAAUAACCUCUUGUUAUGCACUGUUCGCUCUCUGACUCCUCAGAUUCUUCCUGCACCUUCCGCUCAUGUGCUUGGUCGCGCUCCCAUUUUUCAUGUUUAUUCUAGAUGCUUAGAGGACUCUGACUCCGCUCCACUACUAGCUUCUUCGUCGACAGACCUUGCUCUCACUGAUCCUUCACCGUCUGAUUUAGAUUUACCCGUUGCUCUUCGCAAAGGUAAAUGUACUUGCACUCAUUCUAUUUCAUCUUUUGUCUCUUAUAGUCAAUUAUCCUCUUCUUCUCAUUGUUUUGCCACUACUUUAGAUUCUAUUUCAGUCCCCAAACUAUUAUUGAGACUUUAUCCCAUCCUGGUUAGCGUGCUGCGAUGGAAGAAGAAAUAAUGGCCCUAGACAUUAAUGGUACUUGGGAGUUGAUAUCCUUGCCCCUAAGGAAAUGGGCUAUUGGGUGUAAAUGGGUGUUUGCAGUGAAAGUAAAGUCUGAUGGAUCUGUUGCUCACCUUAAGGCCCGUUUAAUGGUCAAGGAUUAUGCUCAAACUUAUAGAGUUGACUAUUUUGAUAAUUCUCUCUAGUUGUCAAGCUCGCAUUUGUUCCAUUAUUUAUUUCCUUGGCAGCUACACAUGAUUGGGCUUUGCAUCAACUGGAUAUUAAAAAUAUUUUUCUCCAUGAUGACCUUCAGGAGGAGGUUUAUAUUGAGCAACCACUUGAUUUUAUUGCUCAGGGGAAGUUAGGCAAGGUUUGUAGACUUCGAAAAUCCCUCUAUGGCUUGAAACAGAGAUUUCGGGCAUGAUUUGGCAGGUUUAGUGAGGUAGUCCAACAGUUUGAAAUGAAGAUGAGUAAGUGUGAUCACUUAGUGUUUCAUAGAAAUUCUAAUAAUAGAGUAAUUCUGCUUGUAACAUAUGUGGAUGAUAUUGUUAUCAUAUGCUUUUUUAAGUCGAUGAAUAACAUGUAUAAUUCUUCUUUAUCUUCCGAUAAAUUACCACUAAACUUCUUAAUAAAGAAAUAGAUUUUAUUGUAAAUCUAUCGAAUUUUCCCUACUUUUCCACUAUGUCCUUUUAAGAUACUAGUUAAGUCCAAACAAUGCUUGAACUUGCUCACAAUGAGAGAUUUAGUCAUCAUAUCAAUUGGAUUUUCUACAAUAUCAAUUUUCUUAAUAAAAAAUAUUACCCUUACUGAUAAUAUCACAAACAAAAUAGUAUCUCACAUCAAUGUGCUUCGUCCUCUCUUGAAACAUUUGAUCUUUUGUCAAAUGAAUAGCACUUUAGUUAUCGCAAUGGACGAUAGUCACCUAUUGACUUGUAUUGAGCUCACCAAAUAAACCUCUUAACUAAAGAGCUUCUUUUAUAGCCUCAGCUAUUACCAUGUACUUUGCUUCAAUAGUAGAUAAUGCAAUUAUAGGCUGUAAAGUAGUUUUUCAGCUAAUAACAGUAUUGCCAAGAGUAAACACAGCCUGUAAUGGAUAUUAUUUUAUCCAUAUCACCUGCAUAAUCUGAAUUAACAUAACCGACAACAUUGUUCUUACUCCUUUCAAAGUGUAAAGAAUAAUUAAUAUUGCCUUACAAAUAUCUCAAAAUCCACUUCAUGCUUGCUAAUUUUCUUUUCAAAAUUAGAUAUGAAUCUACCAACCACACUAAUUGCAUGUGAAAUAUCAGGACAAGUACAGAUUGUAGCAUAUAUAACACUACCAACAGCAUUGAGGUAAGAAACAUUUGAUAUUUAUUCAAUAUCUUUUUCUGGCUGAGGUGAUAAAGCAGCUGAUAAUCUAAAAUGACCACCAAGUGGAGUACUUAUAAGUUUCACAUUUUUCAUACCAAAAUGCUCUAAGACAUUCUUAAUAUAACUCUUCUAAAUUAGACAUAAUAUACCCAUAGUUCUAUUUCUUUGAAGCUGCAUACCUAAAAUUUUUGUUGUUGCUCCUAAAUCCUUCGUCUCAAAUUCACCACUCAACUCAUUCUUUAAUUUAUUGAUCUUAGACAUAUUCUUGGCAGCAAUGAGAAUAUCAUCAAUAUAAAACAAUAAAUAAAUGAAUGAACCAUCAAUAAAUUUUUUGAAAUACACACAACUAUCAAAUUGGCUCCUCGAAUAGUCAUAUUAAACCAUAAAGAGUCAAAUCAUUUAUACCACAAUCGAAAAGAUUGUUUCAAAUUAUACAAUGACUUCUUCAGCAGUCAAAUAUGGUCUUCUUUCCCUUCAACUUCAAAACCCUCAAGUAACAUUUAAAUCGUCUCUUUCAGGUCACCAAUCCAGUUGCCCUAGCUCUAAAUUACAUAUGGCAACUAAUGCAAGCAAGACAUAGAUAAAGCUAUGUCUAAUAACAUGUGAGAAAAUAUCAUUAAAUUCAAUCUCGCAAACCUAACUAUAGUCCUUUGCUAUCAAUCGUGCUUUGUAUCUAGCAUCUUCAAUACUUGAAAUUCCCUCUUUCUUCUUAAAGGCACAUUUGCAUCCAACAAUUUUCUUAUCUUUUAGUAGUUUGGCCAAUUCCAAAAUCCUGUUCUUGUAGAGAGAUUUCAUCUCCCAUUUCAUGGCAACUAACCAUCUAGCUUAAUCAUCACAAGAGAUUGAAUAUGAGCAUGUGAAAGAUUCACCACUAGCUUCCAUUUCUUAUGUCAUUGACAUUACAAGAGAAACAUAAUUUGUAUGAAGCAACUUGCUAGGUAAUUUCCUCUAUCUUUUGGGUCUUAGACUUUCUUCUUGUUGUAAUGUUUCAGUCUGAACAGGAGAAGAUAACUGAACAGGGACUUGUUGUGAAGAAUUAUCAUGUGUAGGUGCAGACUCCACCUCUAACUCAAUCCUAUUAACUAGAUCCAUUGAACUCGUGUUUAGCUCCACAAUCGAAUCUUUUAAACCUGAAUCUGAAGAAGCAAACGAUUCCUUAAACAUCUCAUAUUCAUUAAAUUAAAUACGACAUCUCUACUGAUCACUGAUUUUGACAGAUCAUGAUCUAGAAGUCAUACUUUGUAUCCCUUGACACCAGAUGGAUAACCAAUAAAAAUACCUUCUAUGGAUCUAGCCUCCAAUUUUUCACUAUUGGUAUGAAAAUAAACAGGACAACCAAAUACCCUCAAAUAGAAUAACCAGGAGAGUUACUAGACCAUACUUCUUUGGAAGUCUUUAAUUCAAUAGUUGUGGAUGGAGAAUAGUUCACCAAAUAGUAUACUAUAAUAGUUGCUUCUAUCCAAAAAUCCCGAGACAAGCUAAAAUUAGACAACAUAUAAUUAACUUUUUCUAACAAAGUUUUGUUCAUGUGCGCUGCAACACCAUUAUGCUGUGGAGUCCCUCUGUCUUUGAGAUGCCUAAAAAUGCCUUCAUCUUUGCAGAACUUGUUAAAUUCACUAUCACAAAACUCUAGUCCAUUAUCUGUGCGGAGCCUUUCAAUCUUCUCACCUAUUUGCUAAAAGGAAGGAAAAUAAGCAAAAAUAAAUCUAGUUACAACAGGCCACAAAUUUUUUGCUACAAUAGAUUUCCUGCUUGGCUAGGUAUCAUAUAUCAAAUUCACUUCUCUGUGAGCAUGUUGAAUACGAAAGGUAAGAAAGACUUUAGAUAAGCUAAUGAUAGAAUUGUGCAUUGAGAAAACCUCCAAAGAUAUUUAUCUUGGGGAGACACCCGAGAAACUGCAACAAUAGAAUUAGAUUCCACAAGACACCAUGCAUUAAGGACCAAACAUCUCAAUGAGGAGCUAGAAUACUUAAGGCCUUUUCUAUUGUAAGAAGUUCAGCUACAUUUGAGUCUACAAUACCAACAGGACAUGAGAAAACACAUAUAAACAUACUAUGUGACUCACAUAGCACACCUCCAAUAGCAGCUGACCUGACUUCCAAAUGGAGGAACCAUCAACAUUCCAUUUAAUCCAAAAAGGAUCAAGCUUAACCCAAAAGAAAUUAGGCCUAGGCCUAGCCUAGAGCAAUAAGAUGACCACAUCUGAUAGCUUCAAAAGAAAUUAGAAGAUUUAAACUAGAAGAAGGAAAAGAAGCGUCCAAAGCUUUCAUCCAAAUGGACGCACGAUGGAGGAUAGGAGGGCGUAAGAAAUCCAUAUUAAGAUCUUUUCCAUCAAAAUUUUCUCUUUUCUAGUCAAGUACAGAGACCAUAUUAUAGCAUUAGCUAGUAACAAGCAAAACUUAGUUUGGAACUUCCCAUGAGCCAAGAAUUUCUAUUCGGAUAAAAGCAAAGGGACUGAACUUGGUUAGUAAAAGUGAAUGCCCCAUCAUUUGAGAAAUCAUGUACAAAUCUCCCUAGAAAGAUGGCAAUGGAGAAAAAUGUGAGAAACUGAUUCUUGAUAGAGCUCGUAUCUAGGACCAUAGUAUUAAGAAGGUAGAAUAUUUUUAUUUUGGACAAAAAUAUUAUUGUAAUGUCCAAUAUCAUGGAACUAACAUUUCAACUAGGAGGCUCCAUUGCAGAGGUAACCUUCCAUAACCUCUGUGUUCUCAAAGCUUAGAAGUACAUGAUCUCCACCUACUCCUUCCUCAGCAAAAAGCUCAUGCAUAAUAGGGAUGAGGUUUUUAUCAUUUUGCAAGAGUAGAUUUUGGUAACCAUUCACUAUUAAAAGAUUUUAUGUUCUCCGAAAUCUCAUACCUACCACAGACAAUAUAUGAACUGCCAGUGAAGGAUCUCAUCUCAAGACAAAUAUCAAAAGGUGGGACAACUCUAUCUAUCUUUGUUCGAGGAACAAAAAAUUGUUUGUAUUUGAAGCUCCACAUUGAUUUUGAUUAUGGCUACCGUUAUAAUCAAGUUUUGAGUUACCGAUCUUACCAUUCUUGGUAGUAAUGCUGAAGUAUGACUUGAAAGCUCGUAAUUUAAAGGUGUUGAUCCAAAGAAGAUUAAGGUUCGAAUAAGAUUUCACAUUACUGAGAUAGUAUGGACUUUUAUAAAAGAAAAAUGCUUCCCACUCUUGUUUAACUUUCUUAGGACAAAAAUAUCUGCAACGUGAGCAAACUUGAAGAUAAUCUUGCACAGCAAGGCAGUCACAAAAACUAGGUAGGUUUUCAAGAUAGAUAGUGGGAAAAAGUCUUCUUAAGGGAGGGGUUGAGAUGACCAUUAUGGGACGAUUGAGUGGAAAAAUGGAGUUAAUAGAUAAGUAAGGAAUCAAGUUUUUCUUUUUUCGAUCUACGAUAAAGGUAAUACAAGCUCAUUAAGAGAGAACUUGAAAAUCUUUUGAGUUAAGUACUCAAUAACUUUUAGAAAAAUUCUAUCAUAUCUCCUUUAUUAAUUUACUGCACUUAAAUAGCCAAGGCAAAAGACAACCUCAUCUUACAUAUAAGGAAACUCAAAAGUAUGAACUAAACAUGGAGGAACACCUUCCUACGAUUAAGGAAUUAAAAGCAACAACUAAUUAUCUGGAGAAUAUGGUUGAACUAAACCCACAGAAUAUGGCAGCAGCUCAAUCAUGUUGCAAGAAAACAAGAAUUUCUGAAUUGCCCUGUUUAGUGGCUUUGACCCGGUCUUGUAUUUCAAUAUUCUUCUUCCUCCAUGUGUGAAACUCGUGUAUAUUAGUAAGGGUUUGCUAACAACUGGCUAAUUGGGAUGGACCAAGGGUAUGAUAUGAAGGAGAGACUAGGUUGGCAGUGAUGCUGGAGGAAGAGUUGAUAGGGACAUGAUUUUUUUUUUUUCCAGUUAAGAUUAUAUAUAUGAAAAUAUGUGAAUAAAAUAUUAAAAAUAAAGGUUCAUGAAAAUAACAUUAUAGCAAACAUUCAUUACUAAAAGAAAGUUUGUACUAGUUGUAUGUUGUUACUUUAUAUAUUUUAACUGUAGCCAUAUGUUAAUAACAAGAGUUUGAGAAUUGCUAUAUCUACCUCUGCUACUGAAUAUAAGACGGUGAUUUACUUAUUUUUUUUUUAUAAUGAAUAAAAAACAUGGAUAAAAUUAUAAUUUUAUUAAAUAUAAAAUUAACUUUAUAUUAAAAUAUAUUACUAAUAAUAAAACUAUAAAUUUUCUUUAUAAUAAUUUUAAGAGAUAAUUUUACACCCAUUAUUGUUGUCUAAACUCUAAAAUGUAACCUCUAAAAUGUAACCGUGAUUUAUUUUGUUAGAAUGAGUUAUAAAAAAGUAUAAAAACAUGCAUGUCUGAACCAAAUAAAACGUAAUAUGUGAAUGAUUUAAUGAUUGUUAGAGUAAAUAAAUACUAUUAUUUAUUUACUCUAACAAUGAUGCAUGGAUUUUUGUAAUCAAGAAUGUAUUAACCGUGAUAAAUUAGUACUCUAGAUAGUGGAACAAAUGUAUACACGUACCCAAGCAACUAAGUUCAUGGAAAAAUUGCCUUCCCUUAUUACAGAUGGUUUUCCAGUAAUCAAUUCUAGAAGAACCACACCGAAGGAAAAGACAUCAACUUUUUCACUGAUCUUGCCAUCUUUGAGAAACUCAGGAGCCAGAUAACUACAAUUGGGGAACACAAGUAUGAGAAGAACCUAUUCGAUAAAUAGUGUGUAUAUAUAUAUAUAUGCACCUUACCCACGGUUUUCCAUUGCCUUAUUAUAAAUAUAGGCAACUAAAUAUGGAUGUUCUUGGGCAAGUACAAAACCUGAAAUCUGGAAUGAAAGAAUUUAUACAAGUCCAAUUAUUUUUUCAAAUAGCAUAAAAAUCAAAUUAUUGGCUCUAUUUUAUAUUUCAAAUUGAACUUAAUGAGUUUAUAAUUGAUAAGAAUUACUAUAAAAGAAACUUAUUAUAAUUAUUCUAAUUAUUGAGAAUGAAAACCAUAUUAUAUGUUUUAACAAUAUACAGUUAGACUCGGCUGAAAAAAAUUUAAAAUAAUUUAUGCUAAAUGUUUCAUACAAUAAUAUUGUAGAAUACAUCAUUAACAAAGCAAACUUUUAGUGUCUUUUGUUUUUGGAAAAUAUUUUCCUCAAAAUAUAUUUAAUAUAUUUAAGGUUUAAACCAUUUAAAAAGUAGGUCAACGAUAUUUUAAUUAAAGAAAAAACCAAGUCUCUUUUUUUUUGUGAAGCUAGACUCUAAGCUUACAUUUAAUUUAUUAGGUUAACUCUGGAAAGAUUUGUGUAAGCUGGUAAGAUACAAAUACUGUUGUAUCGACUGAUGAAUGAAUAGAGCUGAUUAUAUAGAAAAGAUUUACAAGUUUAAAAUUUGAACAUUAACAUAAAAGAAUAUAAUAUUAUCAUAAUUCUAACAAGCUUAUUUUUCAUUUAUUCAAAUUGGACUGCCUUCAUACCCUCCAUAUUUCAUCAAUCUAGUUCAAAUUUCAGAAACAUAUAUACGUAUAUGAUUAAGAUUCUCAAGAGAAAUUGUAUGACAUGUAUAUAGAGAUAUUAGCAACAAUUAUAGGAGCAUGCAUCAAGUUUUAUCUCCCUUAACUUGCUAACAACCGGCUAAUUGGGAUGGACCAAGGGUGCAAUACGAAGGUGUGGAGAGACUAGGUUGGCAGUGAUGCUGGAGGAAGGGUUGAGAGGGACAUGAUUUUUUUUUUUUUUCCUAGUUAAGAUGAUAUAUAUAAAAAUAUGUGAAUAAAAUAUUAAAAAUAAAGGUUCAUGAAAAUAACAUUAUAGCAAACAUUCAUUAUUAAAAAAAAAGUUUAUACUAGUUGUAUAUUGUUACUUUAUAUAUUUUAACUAUAGUCAUAGGUUAAUAACAAGAGUUUGAGAAUUGCUAUAUCUACCUCUGCUACUGAAUAUAAGACGGUGAUUUACUUAUUUUUUUAUAAUGAAUAAAAAAUAUGGAUAAAAUUAUAAUUUUAUUAAAUAUAAAAUUAACUUUAUAUUAAAAUAAAUUACUAAGAAUAAAACUAUAAAUUUUUUUUAUAAUGAUUUUAAGAGAUAAUUUUACACCCACUGUUGUUGUCUAAACUCUAAAUGUAACCUCUAAAAUGUAACCGUGAUUUAUUUUGUCAGAAUGAAUUAUAAAAAAGUAUAAAAACAUGUCUGUCUGAACCAAAUAAAAUGUAAUAUGUGAAUGAUUUAAUGAUUGCAAUGAUGCAUGGAUUUUUGUAAUCAAGAAUGUAUUAACCGUUAUAAAUUAGUACUCUGGAUAGUGGAACAAAUGUAUACACGUACCCAACCAACCAAGUCCAUGGAAAAGUUGCCUUCCCUGGUUUUCCGCUAAUCAAUUCAUGAAGAACCAUACCCAAGGAAAAGACAUCAGCUUUUUCACUGAUCUUGCCAUCUUUGAGAAUCUCAGGCCUGGGGAACACAAGCAUGAGAAGAACCUAUUCAAUAAAUAGUGAAUGGAUAUAUAUAUGCACCUUACCCACGGUUUUCCAUUGCCUUAGUAGAAAUACGGGCAACAAAAUUUGAAAGUACUUGGCCAAGUUCAAAACCUGAAAUCUGGAAUGAAAGAAUUUAUACAAGUCCAAUUAUUUUUUCAAAUAGCAUAAAAAUCAAAUUAUUGGCUAUAUUUUAUAUUUCAAAUUGAACUUAAUGAGUUUAUAAUUGAUAAGAAUUACUAUAAAAGAAACUUAUUAUAAUUAUUCUAAUUAUUGAGAAUGAAAACCAUAUUAUAUAUUUUAACAAUAUACAGUUAGACUCGGCUGAAAAAAAUUUAAAAUAAUUUAUACUAAAUGUUUCAUACAAUAAUAUUGUAGAAUACAUCAUUAACAAAGCAAACUUUUAAUGUCUUUUUUUUUUUUUUGGAAAAUAUUUUCCUCAAAAUAUAUUUGAUAUAUUUAAGGUUUAAGCCAUUUAAAAAGUAGGUAAAUGAUAUUUUAGUUAAAGAAAAGACUAAGUCUCUUUUUUUGGUGAAGCCAGACCCUAAGCUUACAUUUAAUUUAUUAAGGUUAACUCUGGAAAGAUUUGUGUAAGCUGGUAAGAUACAAAUACUAUUGUAUCGACUGAUGAAUGAAUAGAGGUGAUUAUAUAGAAAAGAUUUACAAGUUUAAAAUUUGAACAUUAACAUAAAAGAAUACAAUAUUAUCAUAAUUCUAACAAGCUUAUUUUUCAUUUAUUCAAAUUGGACUGCCUUCAUACCUUCUAUAUUCCAUCAAUCUAGUUCAAAUUUCAGAAACAUAUAUAUGUAUAUGAUUAAGAUUCUCGAAAGAAAUUAUACGACAUGUAUAUAGAGAUAUUAGCGACAAUUAUAGGAGCAUACAUCAAGUUUUAUCUCUCUUAAAACUUACCUUUGGUUCAAAGUUAUUGUCAAGAAGAAUAUUAUGAGAAGUGAUAUUUCCAUGUAUGACCAUAGGAGUACCUAAAAAUACACGAAUCAUAAAAUUAAAGUAAAACAUGCAAUCUCAAACAUGAAAAUAGAAUUUGAUUUACACUCACAAAAUUCAUGCAAAUAUGCCAAUCCUUUCGCACAGCCUAUGGCAAUUUUCUUUCUUCUAGACCAAUCGAUUGUUUUCUUGUGUCCUGCAUCUAAUCAAAUCUUAUAAAUGAGUACCCUUUUUCUAUUUAGAUAAAUGGAAGGCAUUUGGAUAAUCCUUCACAUAAUUAUCUAUCAAUUUUUGUAUGAUACGUAUAGUCAAGGACUCACCAUGUAAAUGAAAUCUCAAUGACUUGUUAGGAACAAACUCAUAAACAAUAAAUUUAUCAUAUUCUUCAUCGCAAUAUCCAAUCAGCUUGUUUAGAUAUUGGUAAUUGUGAUUGAUGGGAUUAACCAUUUGUUCAACUUCCAUCUGUUCACCCUCCCAAAGAUAAAGCUUGUUAAUGGCAACAGCCAUUCCAUCGAGUUCCCCCCUGUAAACUCUAGCAUAAUUAUCAUCGCGAAGCAUGCAAUUGUUGGAGAAAAAUUGAGUUGCAAUUGCUAGUUCUUCAAAAGAAAACAUUCUCGGCGAAAAAAUUUGUGCCCUCUCAAUGCCAAGUAGAGAUUCUAGACUAGUAGUAGGCCUUCCUGUAUGUGCAGUAGAAAUGUUAUACAAAUAUAUAAGCAGACAUAAAUUGAUAUAUGGAGUUCUAGUUGGGUUUACAACCCUAUUAAUCAUGGGUUGGAUAAACAACAUGAAUCCAAUAUACAUUUAAGUUUAAUAUAUUUACUCCCUCAAUUGCAUCAAUAAUAACAAUUUGAUUCCGUAUUUUGAAAUUAGUGUAUCUUUUGAUUUUACUUCAGCCACACACUUGAAUCCUUCUGUCAUGUGCUGUUAGUUUUUAAAAAUAAACUACUAUUUAAUUUUUAAAUUUUGUCAUUAUUUACAGUUUCAUUCCUUAAUUUUGUAAUUAGUUAUAAUUUUAUCCCUCAUAUUUAUCUCUUUUACCAUUCUCACUUUCUUUAUCACUCCCUCCAUCUAUAUAUCUGUCUCUUCUCUAUGACAAAGAAGAGAAAAGAGAUAAAGUAGAUGAAUGAAAUAUGAAUAAUUUCAAAAUUAAAGAAUGAAAUUGGAAAUAGUUAUAAUAUUAAGGGACUAUAUAGUAAUUUCGUAAAAUACUAACGCAAAAUGGACGAAAGUAUCUAAGUAUACGACAAAUUUUUAGAAAAUAUAUCUAAUAAAUGAAUGGAAAAUGGCUUAAGGAAUUUUUAGAAAAUAUAUGUAAAGAUGAGGAAUUUUAUGUAAUUUCAAAGAUGGAGAUUUUUAUGUUAGCAUACUAAAGAUAAAGGAGCAAAGUGUAACAAACUCUAAAUUUGAAAAGCUGAGUAUAAAUUAUCCAAAAUUUAUAUAUAUUAUUAAAUUCAUGCAUCUGUUUAUCCUUAAAUUUAUGCAUUUUAAUUUAUCAUGUGUUAAUAUUUUCAAAAAACAGUAAAAAAUAGUCAUAUCUCUAAUUUUGUAAACUUUAUAUUAUUACUUAAGUAAAAUUUGAAAAUAAAAAUAACUUUUUGCAAAUUUAUAAUUUUAAUGAAAAGUCACUAAUUAAAAGUAAUAAAGUCGCAUAUAUAAUUUCAAUUACCCUGUAUAGUUUCAAUGUCUUUCCUGUCUAUUAUCUUCUCAUGCGAAAUAGUUCCUUCAAGAACUCCAAUUAUCUGCAUGAGAUAAACUAAUUCAUGAAUGAAACAAAAUACGAUUAUAUUAAAAAAAUAAAAUAGCUUAUAAUUUUAUCAAAUUUCAGCAAAAGACCAAAUAUAUUUACGUGUAAAAUUAUUUAUUUGCAUAAUAUGAAAGAACAUUUUUAAAAUAAAAAAUGAUAAUGAUUGUGCAUAUGUGUAAUAUUUAGGAUAAAGAAAAGCAAACCAAUAAUAAUUUGAAUGAAUUAAAUAUAAAAAAUAGAAUAAAAAUUGUUAAAAGAUUAUUAUAAGAAAAGAAACAUGUAAAAAAAGUUAUGCAAAAAAAAUAAUAAUUCUACAAGUGUAAUUUUUAUCAAUUAAAUUUAUAAUGUAUUUUAUCAUAACCUGGUACAUGUGUGUAUAUACCUACACCUUUAUUCAUAAGCUAAUCCAGUACUUUUAGAAUCUCAACAUAAUACACCUUUAUUAAAGUUAAAUACUUUAGUCUUUCUAUCCAUUUAACCACUAAUACUUAAGAAAAAAAUUUAAAAUGCCAUAAUAAAAGGAGGUUCACUUUUAAAAAUAUCAAUAAUGAUAAAAUUUAAGAAUUAAAUUGCUAUCUAAUUAUUUGAAAUUUAACUGAUGAAAUUUUUUAAGAAAUACUUAAAAAAUAGAUGAAAUAAUUAAACUAUUUAUCGAAAUCAAAAGUUAAGAAUAUUUUUUUAACAAAUUUUCUAAACUAUAUGAAUAGUUUUGUUAAUAAUCCCUUAAUUUUUUUAAAUCUCUAUAUACAUACACACUUUACCUGUUUCAUUGUUGGACGAGAGUACGAAGGUUUAUAUACCGAAGCUGCUGCACAGUAAAUCAUUCUUAUCAUUUCUUUCUUGUUAUACAUAUCUUCCAAUUUUGAAUCGACAAGAUCGGUAUAAUCAUCGUUGUCCAAAGCUUGUCCAAUCUGAGAUCUAGCCUAAAUGUUGAUAAGUGAAAGUAUUUGUUAAUUUUUUUUAUAUCAAUAAAAGGUUUUUUUGAAUGCAUAUUUAGUCUAAUGUCAAGAGCAAUAUACGAUUUGAUGAAUUUGAAAAAUUUUAUAAACUAUUUACAAUAUAUUAAAAUAUGAAUAGAAAUGUAUAUGCCACUCUUUGGCAUAGAGUUGACACCAAUGAAAAUGGGACUACAUGUUUUUCAAAAAAGAAAAAAAAAACAUUAUCCUCUUGUUUGGAAUAAAAAAUUUCAUAAGAAAUCAAUUCAAUUCAAUUCAAUUCUUUUCUACAAUUUUCUUGUUUGGAAGGGAAGAAUUAUUUAUUUCUUAACUUACAAAAUUUUCAUUUUCAAAGAAAAAUAAAAUCAUACAUAAUUUUAUAAGAAUUCAUUUGAAUUAUUUUUUUGCAAAAUGAAUAUAUCAACAAAGGAGAUAGGCUUCUUAUCAAGAGCACACAUGCAAUAUAGCAAUGAGAUUACAACCCUCGCUAUUCCAAGUGAAAAGCUACACACAAACUAUGGAGAGGGCUUAGUUUGUAUUCUACAAUCAUGUGUGACUUGCAAUACCUCACACUUACCAGGCUUGACAUGUGAAAGUUUGUGAUUGAGGAUUUCUAGUUUGUUCAUUGUGCAACAAAAGUGCACUAGACUACUAUGAAGAGGAUGUCGCACUACCUUUAGGCAACUCCAGAGUAUAGGUUGCACAUAAUUAAAUCAUCAAUCCCCUGGAUCCCUACUUAUAUAGAUGCUGAUUGCGAUUUUUGUCUUGACGAUGACAAAUUUACAACAAGGUACUCCAUAUACUUAAAAAAUAAUAUUGUGUCAUGGCCAUCUAGGAUUUAGAAGAAAAAACCAUUGUAGUUCGUUUAUAAAAAUUGAGAAUUGGGCUAUUUUGACUGCCACAACAACGGUAUCUUGGAUACAAUAGUUGAUCCAUGAAAUAUUUGUGCAAUCAAAUGAAACUUCAGUAUGUGAUAAUGUAGGUUCAACUUAAGAUAACAUAAAGGGAGCUACAAUUUCAAUACAUCUCCUUGCAAGACUAGUUGGCCAAUAUUCUAAUAAAGUUAUUAUCUAGGGUUGUAACUGAAUAAAACUCCUUGUGAGCUAUUUAAGGCUUGACUCAAUAAAGAUUUGACUUAAGUUGAUUCUUUUUCUAAGUAAGCCAAGUUGAAGACUUAAGUUUUAGACUCGUUUAAUAAACUAGCUAAAAUCGAGCUUUUAAAUAUUCAACUCAUUAAGACUCGAAAGCUCAUUUGUUUAUAGAUUUACAAGUCAACUCAUAAAUAUACAUAUUUAACUGAAAUUAUUUAGUUUGAAACUAAUUAUGUUUAAAUUAAAACUUGUUGAGGUUGUAAAUGAAUCGAACUUUUUGUAAGGUAUUCGAGACUUGGCUAUCUAAACUCAUUUGCUAAAUAAAUCAAGUUUGAACUUAUUAAUACUCAAUUCGAG